GCGCACCCAAAAAACGACAAGACAAUUCACCAAAAAGGAUUCUAACAACAGAGACGGUCAAAGUUCAAACGCAUGUUAGCGUAGGUAGCCUGCAAUGGUCAGAUACCACAGCUUUCAGUUAAGUUGCUUGGCUGUCUAUAACGUUUUCCUGACUAUGAGGUGAUUGUAGGUACGUUUUCUAGCUAGCUAAGAACAUGUUUUUUAUGCGCAGUACCGCAUAGUAGGAAAGCUUCAUGCCAGGCUCACUCAAAAAUGUAAUUAGUCACAGCAUUGGCAGCAUGUGUGAAGGGGUGUGAAACGAACACUGCAAAGUCGGAAAUUGUCGGCUACGCGGUUUACACCAUCAUCGUGACAACCAACAUGGCGUUUGAAGAUCAAGCAUUGGAACAAGGUGUACAGAGUAGAACAGGCACCCAACAGACAGACAAGUCCAUCACUAAUACACUACGGAUGGAUCCAGCUGAUUACAGGCAAUUUGGAAAAGAUUGUUCUUUAUCUGCUACAGUUCACUGUCACUUUGGGUACAGAUUAAUUGACCUUUUGUGCUAUGUUUGGUUUUACUUUGUCUCCAAUUUCACUUUAAUUGAAACAGUGAAUCUUGUAGAUGUAUCAGUAGGGUUCCUAUAUACCCAUUAUUGGUAGUAUUCUUAUUCUCCUUCUGCAUAAAGCUGCCCAAUAACUUAAGAUCUCCUUGGUAACUUUCUAAUUUGGCACAUUGAAACUACAGGCCACAAGUAACUCCCACUCAUCAAAUGGCCAACAUUCGCCCAUAGGUAGUGUUACAGGCCACACCCCAAUGUUUUCAUUUUCUAAGUAAUAACAUAUCUUGCCUGUUUGUCAAUAAUUGUCCAUUUAUGAAACCUGUCACAUAUACCUAAUUUCUCAUGAGAAAUAAACAAAUAAACUCAAGACACCAUGUAGUCUGCCAUCUUGUAUUGUUCUGUAUAGCAAACAUUUGGCCAAAACUACAAGUUUUAUGUCCCACUCGUCCAAUUGACUUAUGGGAUAAAUGACUGAUUAGGGUGUUAAAGGCUAAGAGAAGUCCCAAAAUGGUGGAUUUAUUUGCAUAUAAGUGAAUUGCGAACCGUGGCACAUAUUUCAUGUGUCCAGAAUUCAAUGACACAUUGACAAUUGUAUAAAAUAACUGCUGAAUACAUUUACAGAUUGCCUUUAAUGUAGCUAUUUUUCAUGUGUUCUGACAUACAUGUGCCAUACAUUUACAGACCUUUGUUUCAUGUUAAUAUAUUUUUGAACAUAGUAAAACAUGUAGAUAUAAUAGGAAAUUCCAUAACAAAAAGGUAAUACCCUAAAUUUACAGAGAUUUAAAUAAUGUUUAAAUAUAGCUAGUAUUCAUGUAUUAACAAUGCUUAGUUUUCCAUUGUUCAGUUAAAUGUUUACCUUAAAAUUCUCUAAAAUGACUAA
Esox lucius (northern pike) is the source of this 1422-nucleotide long non-coding RNA. RefSeq lists it as uncharacterized. The record is from RefSeq and is a predicted model, not a curated record. The transcript is spliced from 3 exons. Lineage: Eukaryota; Metazoa; Chordata; Actinopteri; Esociformes; Esocidae.